AGGUCAUCAACGGGAGCCAUGCUUUUACUCCUCGGUUUGCUCAGAGCCUGAUGAGGAGAGUCACUAAAAGAGAGACAACCUGCAGGCUUGUGUCCAGAGACUUGUCUUCCACCUACACCUCACCAGAACACAACGUAGAAAGUACUACUACUACUACCACCACCAUCAUUACCACUACUACUACUACCACCAUC
Oncorhynchus kisutch (coho salmon) is the source of this 194-nucleotide long non-coding RNA. RefSeq lists it as uncharacterized. The record is from RefSeq and is a predicted model, not a curated record. NCBI's taxonomy places the organism in Eukaryota, Metazoa, Chordata, Actinopteri, Salmoniformes, Salmonidae. The transcript is spliced from 3 exons.